This 577-nucleotide small RNA is filed under the name Pan troglodytes (chimpanzee). Its description in RNAcentral is "processed transcript". Lineage: Eukaryota; Metazoa; Chordata; Mammalia; Primates; Hominidae. The record is from RNAcentral.
AUUUAAAGGUACGCGCCGCGGCCAAGGCCGCACCGUACUGGGCGGGGGUCUGGGGAGCGCAGCAGCCAUGGCAAGCUGUCUCCUGCUCAACAACGGCGCCAAGAUGCCCAUCCUGGGGUUGGGUACCUGGAAGUCCCCUCCAGGGCAGGUGACUGAGGCCGUGAAGGUGGCCAUUGACGUCGGGUACCGCCACAUCGACUGUGCCCAUGUGUACCAGAAUGAGAAUGAGGUGGGGGUGGCCAUUCAGGAGAAGCUCAGGGAGCAGGUGGUGAAGCGUGAGGAGCUCUUCAUCGUCAGCAAGCUGUGGUGCACGUACCAUGAGAAGGGCCUGGUGAAAGGAGCCUGCCAGAAGACACUCAGCGACCUGAAGCUGGACUACCUGGACCUCUACCUUAUUCACUGGCCGACUGGCUUUAAGCCUGGGAAGGAAUUUUUCCCGUUGGAUGAGUCGGGCAAUGUGGUUCCCAGUGACACCAACAUUCUGGACACGUGGGUGACACUUUUCUCUGUAGGCCAUGGAAGAGCUGGUGGAUGAAGGGCUGGUGAAAGCUAUUGGCAUCUCCAACUUCAACCAUCU